Molecule: ribosomal RNA, 457 nt
Filed under: uncultured bacterium
Lineage: Bacteria
Description: partial 16S ribosomal RNA
Rfam family: Bacterial small subunit ribosomal RNA
Source: RNAcentral
CCUACGGGAGGCAGUGAGGAAUAUUGGUCAAUGGGCUUACGCCUGAACCAGCCAAGUCGCGUGAGGGAAGACUGCCCUAUGGGUUGUAAACCUCUUUUGUCAGGGAGCUAUUGGCGCUACGUGUAGCGAUAUCGAGAGUACAUGAAGAAAAAGCAUCGGCUAACUCCGUGCCAGCAGCAGCGUAAAUACGGAGGAUGCGAGGUUUUUCCGGUUGUAUUGGGUUUAAAGGGUGCGUAGGCGGACGGCCAAGUCAGCGGAAAAAUCGAGGGGCUCAAACUCGCUCCGCCGUUGGAACUGGCGUGCUUGAGUGGGCGGGAAGUAUGCGGAAUGCGUGGUGUAGCGGUGAAAUGCAUAGAUAUCACGCAGAACUCCGAUUGCGAAGGCAGCAUACCGGCGCCCAACUGACGCUGAAGCACGAAGGCGUGGGUAUCGAACAGGAUUAGAUACCCGGGUAGUC